UACGUAGGGGGCGAGCGUUGUUCGGAAUUAUUGGGCGUAAAGGGCGUGUAGGCGGUGCGGUAAGUCGGGCGUGAAAUCUCCGGGCUUAACUCGGAGGGGCCGUCCGGGACUGCCGUGCUCGAGGGUGGGAGAGGGAAGUGGAAUUCCCGGUGUAGCGGUGAAAUGCGUAGAUACCGGGAGGAACACCUGCGGCGAAGGCGGCUUCCUAGACCACAUCUGACGCUGAAGCGCGAAAGCUAGGGGAGCAAACAGG
RNAcentral lists this ribosomal RNA (253 nucleotides) under uncultured bacterium. RNAcentral describes it as "partial 16S ribosomal RNA". It matches the Rfam family "Bacterial small subunit ribosomal RNA", at positions 524 to 776 of the family's 1533-position model. The record is from RNAcentral.